RNAcentral lists this ribosomal RNA (279 nucleotides) under uncultured bacterium. Its description in RNAcentral is "partial 16S ribosomal RNA". It matches the Rfam family "Bacterial small subunit ribosomal RNA", at positions 506 to 784 of the family's 1533-position model. The record is from RNAcentral.
UGCCAGCAGCCGCGGUAAUACGGAGGGUGCAAACGUUGCUCGGAAUCAUUGGGCGUAAAGCGCGCGUAGGCGGCUUGAUAAGUUGGAUGUGAAAGCCCAGGGCUCAACCCUGGAAGUGCAUCCAAAACUAUUAGGCUUGAGUCCCGGAGGGGCCCAGAGAAUUCCUGGUGUAGAGGUGAAAUUCGUAGAUAUCAGGAGGAAUACCAGUGGCGAAGGCGCUGGGCUGGACGGGUACUGACGCUGAGGUGCGAAAGCGUGGGGAGCAAACAGGAUUAGAUA